RNAcentral lists this ribosomal RNA (253 nucleotides) under uncultured bacterium. Its description in RNAcentral is "partial 16S ribosomal RNA". It matches the Rfam family "Bacterial small subunit ribosomal RNA", at positions 524 to 776 of the family's 1533-position model. The record is from RNAcentral.
UACGUAGGGUGCGAGCGUUGUCCGGAAUUACUGGGCGUAAAGAGCUCGUAGGUGGUUUGUCGCGUUGUUCGUGAAAACUCACAGCUCAACUGUGGGCGUGCGGGCGAUACGGGCAGACUGGAGUACUGCAGGGGAGACUGGAAUUCCUGGUGUAGCGGUGGAAUGCGCAGAUAUCAGGAGGAACACCGGUGGCGAAGGCGGGUCUCUGGGCCGGUACCGACGCUGAGGAGCGAAAGCGUGGGGAGCGAACAGG